This 242-nucleotide ribosomal RNA is filed under the name uncultured bacterium. Its description in RNAcentral is "partial 16S ribosomal RNA". It matches the Rfam family "Bacterial small subunit ribosomal RNA", at positions 15 to 244 of the family's 1533-position model. The record is from RNAcentral.
GAUCCUGGCUCAGGAUGAACGCUAGCGACAGGCCUAACACAUGCAAGUCGAGGGGCAGCGGAGAGGUAGCAAUACCUUUGCCGGCGACCGGCGCACGGGUGAGUAACACGUAUGCAAUCCACCUGUAACAGGGGGAUAACCCCGGGAGAAAUCCGGACUAAUACCCCAUAAUAUGGGCGCUCCGCAUGGAGAGCCCAUUAAAGAGAGCAAUUUUGGUUACAGACGAGCAUGCGCUCCAUUAG